CCUUUGGCCUGGAAUAACACGAGGAAACUUGUGCUAAUACCGGAUAAGUCUUUACGGAGAAAGCUUUAUGCACCAUUGGAUGAGCCUGCACUUGAUUAGUUUGUUGGUGGGGUAAUGGCCUACCAAGACUGUGAUCAAUAGCUGAUUUGAGAGGAUGAUCAGCCACAUUGGGACUGAGACACGGCCCAAACUCCUACGGGAGGCAGCAGUGGGGAAUCUUGCACAAUGGAGGAAACUCUGAUGCAGCGAUGCCGCGUGAGUGAAGAAGGCCCUUGGGUUGUAAAGCUCUUUCGUCGGGGAAGAAAAUGACUGUACCCGAAUAAGAAGGUCCGGCUAA
Molecule: ribosomal RNA, 337 nt
Filed under: uncultured bacterium
Lineage: Bacteria
Description: bacterial SSU rRNA
Rfam family: Bacterial small subunit ribosomal RNA
Source: RNAcentral